RNAcentral lists this ribosomal RNA (39 nucleotides) under Phaeoclavulina flaccida. RNAcentral's name for it is "partial 28S ribosomal RNA". The record is from RNAcentral. Lineage: Eukaryota; Fungi; Basidiomycota; Agaricomycetes; Gomphales; Gomphaceae.
UCAAAUCAGGUAGGGACUACCCGCUUGAACUUAAGGAUA